GAGCCCAAAAUGGAGGGAGUGGAAUUGCGGUGCGGUGGGUGCUCUAAGCCUCCAACUGUAAAACCCUUUCCCUCCUCCACACAAAACCCUAACUCCCUAUCCGCAAAGAUGAAGGGGAAAAAGACCAUGACGCGAGACGACGACGAGGAUGCUCCGUUUUCAUCUGAGAUGAUUCCUUCACCAACAGUAUCCGAUUCCGACUCUGAUUAUGAGGACUCUUCUGAAGAUGACGGCGACUCUUCGGACUCGCUGGAUUCUCAAUCUGAAUCGGAAUUAGAAGAUGGUUCCCCUGGUAACGAUCACUCUGGCGAGGUAGAACCUGCAGAAGCUGUAUCAUCUCAAGAUGAGGACAUUGUUGAUACCGAUGAAGAAGUUGGUGGAAGUGAAAUCUCCGAUCUCCAUCAGGAAGGAGCUGAGAGUGAUUCGUCCGAGGAUGAGGUGGCUCCCCGAAACACUGUUGGAGAUGUCCCUUUGAAGUGGUACGAAGACGAACCUCAUAUUGGAUACGACAUCAAGGGCAAGAAGAUUAAGAAAAAAGAAAAGCGUGACAAGUUGGAUUCAUUUCUGGCUAAUGUUGAUGAUUCUAAGAAUUGGCGGAAGGUCUAUGAUGAGUACAAUGAUGAGGAAGUGGAGCUGACAAAAGAUGAAAUCAAAAUAGUUCGUAGACUUCUCAAGAAUCGGGCUCCACAUACUGACUUUGAUCCAUAUCCGGAUUACGUUGACUGGUUUAAAUGGGAUGAUGCCAAGCAUCCAUUGUCUAAUGCACCUGAGCCAAAAAGGAGGUUUAUUCCUUCAAAAUGGGAAGCUAAAAAGGUUGUACAGUAUGUUAGAGCAAUCCGCAAGGGAUUAAUAACUUUUGACAAGCCUAAGGAGGAAGAUGGUCCAUAUCUCUUGUGGGGAGAUGAUUCUGGUUCAAUGGAAAAAGCAAAUCAUUUAGCUUACGUUCCUGCACCAAAGCAGAAAUUACCUGGCCAUGAAGAGUCCUAUAAUCCUCCUUUAGAAUACAUUCCUACCCAAGAAGAGAUCAAUUCUUAUCAAUUGAUGUAUGAGGAAGACCGGCCCAAGUUUAUUCCAAAAAGGUUUACAUCUUUGAGGAGCAUCCCUGCCUAUGAGAAUGCUAUGAAGGAAUCCUUUGAACGUUGUUUGGACUUGUACUUGUGCCCUCGAGUUCGGAAAAAACGCCUUAAUAUUGAUCCUGAAUCCUUAAAGCCAAAGCUUCCAAAUCGGAAGGAGCUUAAACCUUAUCCCAUAACAUGCUAUAUCGAGUAUAAAGGCCAUGAAGAUGCAGUUACAUCAAUUUCGCUUGAAGCUUCAGGGCAGUGGAUGGCUUCAGGUUCAAGUGAUGGAACUGUCCGUAUCUGGGAGGUUGAAACUGGCAGAUGUCUUAGGCGGUGGGAGGUUGGUGAACCUGUUAACUGUGUUGCUUGGAACCCUUUGCCUGAUAUUCAUAUUCUGGCUGUUUCUGUGGGACAAGAUGUGCUUAUACUAAAUACUUGUUUGGGGGAUGGAGAAGAGCAGAAAAGGAUUGAGGAGCUUCUCUGGAUUGACUCAUCAACAGCAUCAGAUGACUCUGGCAACAAAGCACCUAGUGUAAGCUGGCUUAAAGAUGAUAAACAUGGGGGUUUACGGUUAAGACAUUUUAAGACUGUUACUGCUGUAGAAUGGCAUCGGAAAGGUGACUACUUUUCAACAGUGAUGCCAGCAGGUGAAUCAAGAGCAGUUCUGAUACACCAGUUAUCCAAGAAGCUUACUCAAAAACUUCCAUUCAAGUUACAUGGACUUGCGGUUAGAUCUACCUUCCAUCCAUCCCGUUCCAUCUUCUUUAUUUGUACAAAAAAGAGUGUUCGUGUGUAUGAUUUAUUGAAGACUAAGCUCAUAAAAAAGCUUGAUACUGGGCUUCGUGAAGCCUCAUCCAUUACAGUUCAUCCUGGAGGUGAUAAUUUAAUUGUGGGGAGCAAAGAAGGAAAGAUGUGUUGGUUUGACAUGGACCUUUCAUCUAAACCAUAUAAAAUUCUUAAGUGUCACCCAAAAGAUAUCAACAAUGUGGUCUUUCAUCGUUCAUAUCCCUUGUUUGCUUCUUGUUCAGAUGACUGCACUGCAUAUGUUUUUCAUGGAAUGGUUUAUUCUGAUCUCAAUCAAAAUCCUCUUAUUGUUCCUUUGGAAAUUCUACGAGGCCAUACAAGUUCAAAUGGGAGAGGUGAGACCUGUUUAUGAUGCGUCUUUUGGUGUUAAUAGAAGUUGAGAUCCAAUUUUGUGGAAAGUAUAGUUCAGGCCGACUUGAAAAAAGUUAAUCAAGCAUUUUAGCUAUAAAAUUGGUUUAGGAUAAAAGUAGCAUCAAAAGUGCCAAGAUUGGAUUUCUUUAUACUGGCUUAGCCUUGUCUAACAAGGAAAAAGAUCGAGCCAAGCAUUCAACUACAAAGGUGAAAAGGACCAUAAGACCCAAAAUAUAGUAUUCAUUUAUAAUGGCAUAGCCUUGUCAACAGAGUAAUGGGAUAGAUGCGAUGCUACUUGCUGCUUUGGUGCACAUUUAUUUGUGUCCUUAUAGAUUGGUUUGUAGAUUAUUGAUUCAUUAGCAGAGCCAAAGUAAAGAAACAAGAGAAAAAUUUUGUAAUUCGUUGGACGAGAGUAGUCAAUAGCGUCAUAGCGGCACCUAUCACGGAGGUGUGGAGCAGAUUGGCACCUGAUUGGCUGGUGCCGCUAUUCCUGUCGGGUUUCAUUGUAGCAGCGGUUGUUCCGCAAAUUGUGACAGAAAGCUAAGCAAAUUGCAGCCCUAGCGGCUGCUAUUUCAUCCUAGGGCAAAACGGCAAGUUUGCCCUCCUUUUCUAAAGGGAUAUUGGACUGUAAAUUUCACCCCAGACAGCCCUGGUUAUUUACAGCUGGUGCUGAUAAACUGAUUAAACUUUACUGUCAUUAAGAUAAACACCGAUAUUCUUACACAUGCAUGUGAUAGGCAGAUAACAUCUAUGAGGGAAAGCCUGUAACAUCAUCUGCAAUUUUGUUCCUCUAUUGUUAAAUUGAAAGCACUGCUAGCCCAAAUGAAGGGCACCUGACGAGCGAGUUUCUGGCGCUGAUUUUCCAGAUUAUUUCUCAUGUUUUCCACACUUCACUUGUCUUUCCAAAAUUUUGAGCGUGAAAUAUCAUUCCUGGAAUUCAUAUCUGCGUAUCUUAGCCUGCAAUUGAAAUAGAACUGUAAUUUUGAUGUAUUUUAUACAUAGCUAUUAGUGGGCAAUUAUUUUAAGACAUCUAAUGAAUGCCUAUUUUGGGGGAGAUUGGAUGUGGUGUUGCGUAUGGUUAUUUUAUAGUUGAUUUCCUUUAAUGCAGUUUGCAGUUUCUACGUUG
Molecule: RNA transcript, 3339 nt
Organism: Abrus precatorius (Indian licorice)
Lineage: Eukaryota; Viridiplantae; Streptophyta; Magnoliopsida; Fabales; Fabaceae
Gene name: ribosome biogenesis protein BOP1 homolog
Exons: 18
Source: RefSeq, a predicted model, not a curated record